RNAcentral lists this ribosomal RNA (373 nucleotides) under uncultured eukaryote. RNAcentral describes it as "SSU rRNA". It matches the Rfam family "Eukaryotic small subunit ribosomal RNA", at positions 587 to 972 of the family's 1831-position model. The record is from RNAcentral.
AGCUCUAAUAGCGUAUACUUAAGUUGUUGCAGUUAAAAGCUCGUAGUCGGAUGUCGGGCUUGGGCAGGCUGUCGGCGUUUGUCGGACGGCAGGCUCGGGCCUUUCUGCCUGGGGACCUCGUUGCACUUCAUUGUGGGGCGAUGGGACGCAGGCCGUUUACUUUGAAAAAUUAGAGUGUUCAAAGCAGGCCUACGCUUGAAUACAUUAGCAUGGAAUAAUGGAAUAGGACUUUGGUGCCAUUCUGUUGGUUUAUGGAACCGAAGUAAUGAUUAAUAGGGACAGUUGGGGCCGUUUAUAUUUCGUUGUCAGAGGUGAAAUUCUUGGAUUUACGAAAGAUAAACUUCUGCGAAAGCAUUCGGCAAGGAUGUUUUCA